RNAcentral lists this ribosomal RNA (635 nucleotides) under Klebsiella sp. ICBR 115. Its description in RNAcentral is "bacterial SSU rRNA". It matches the Rfam family "Bacterial small subunit ribosomal RNA", at positions 132 to 758 of the family's 1533-position model. The record is from RNAcentral. Lineage: Bacteria; Pseudomonadati; Pseudomonadota; Gammaproteobacteria; Enterobacterales; Enterobacteriaceae.
GAUAGGAGGGGGAUAACUACUGGAAACGGUAGCUAAUACCGCAUAACGUCGCAAGACCAAAGAGGGGGACCUUCGGGCYUCUUGCCAUCAGAUGUGCCCAGAUGGGAUUAGCUAGUAGGCGGGGUAAUGGCCCACCUAGGCGACGAUCCCUAGCUGGUCUGAGAGGAUGACCAGCCACACUGGAACUGAGACACGGUCCAGACUUCCUACGGGAGGCAGCAGUGGGGAAUAUUGCACAAUGGGCGCAAGCCUGAUGCAGCCAUGCCGCGUGUGUGAAGAAGGCCUUCGGGUUGUAAAGCACUUUCAGCGGGGAGGAAGGCRGUMCGGUUAAUAACCGUGCUGAUUGACGUUACCCGCAGAAGAAGCACCGGCUAACUCCGUGCCAGCAGCCGCGGUAAUACGGAGGGUGCAAGCGUUAAUCGGAAUUACUGGGCGUAAAGCGCACGCAGGCGGUCUGUCAAGUCGGAUGUGAAAUCCCCGGGCUCAACCUGGGAACUGCAUUCGAAACUGGCAGGCUGGAGUCUCGUAGAGGGAGGUAGAAUUCCAGGUGUAGCGGUGAAAUGCGUAGAGAUCUGGAGGAAUACCGGUGGCGAAGGCGGCCUUCCUGGACGAAGACUGACGCUUCAGGUGCGAAA